UAAAAACGUUUUGCUUUGUAAAUACUUCAGAGGUUUAAGAUAUUCAAUUUAUUAAAUGAGGCCUUGAAUGUUGUAACAGACCCAAAGGUAUAAACCUAAAACAAAUAUGAAUAUUUUAAUACAGAACCAUGCAUUAGUCAUUGCAAUGGUCACGUCUUCUUACACCAGCUUUUGUUAGGGUGCCAGAAAUACUCACUAUUAAUACUACAAUACAAGUAUGGCUAAAUAUGCCUAUAGAACAAAAAUCGGGUAGUUUAAAAAAGCUGAAUGUGAACACUGUAAUGGAAAAAGUUUACCUUUGUGCUCAUUCUUAUCCAACACAGUCAACAUGUGCUGGUUAGGUGCAACACUGAACAUUCUUACACAAACAACUAAACUCUUGUGCUGUCGUACAUCAAGUCUAAACAUCUGAUGUUCCAUUUGACUGAUAUAAUUUAUAAUAUAUGUUUGUCUUUUACACCCGGACUCUGGCUCCAUCCUAUCUGACUCCCCACCAGACCCAAGGCUGUUAAAGCGAAUGCAUCUUGUCUUGGAAGCUCGGUGUUCCUUUCUUUGGAUAACAAGACAUGACGAUGCAGAAGUGAGAAAGCAAACAUUCUCACUCACAGCGAGAUAAGGUGGCGCAAACAAUUCCAUUGGUGCAGAGAGACAUUCCACCAAAGCCACAGAAAGGGGUUAAAAGGCAGAAGCAACUUGAGGAUCGUGGGCUCUUUGCAUCACACCUUCGUGGUGUGUGCAAUGAUCUCCCCAGCUGGUUUUUGGUUUGUUGAUGUGCACGAUCAACAUCCAUGCUUUUUAUUUGCUUUCCCAAUUAUUUUUUUUCUUUAUUAUUUCAAUAAAUCGCACAAAAGGACAACUCUCUGCUUCUUUAUGGAAAAUUUACACCACAGAAAUUGGCAUCUACGAACAGGAUCCGCUGCAGGUCGUCUGGAAGGUGUGACCAGGGACGAUAGUCCUGAGGACUAGGGUCGCUCAGCCUCCAAACCUCUACAGACAUUCAGAGCUGGGAGGACUGCACACCCGUCUGGAUCGCCUCUGACGAGAUUCACGAACUCAGAUUCAAACUCAAAUCUUAACUUGGCUCAGCCAGUGAGAGAGAUUCCUUUGAUUUGGGAAAAACAAAAAGAUUGGAACUUUUAAUUUUAAUUUAGCUGAAACAUUUCAAUUGGUUGAAAAAAAAGAAAAGAAAAGAAAUCUUCUAUUUGGUUGAAACACUAAAUUUGAUUAGGAAAGUUAAUUAGAUCGAAAAAGAAAAAAAGUCCCAAUAAUACACGUUCUUAAUUAGGUGAAAGUCUGCUCUGGGUGGUGAGACGUCGGUUGCUAAGGGUUGGCUCGUGGAACCGAGCUUUCGUCUGUACUGAGGAUACAGACAUGUUUUUUUUUAUCUGUGCGUGGUCCACACGUGGGGGACUGAGUAUAAAAGACGGCUUCUGAAAGAUGGAGCGCGUUUGCAGAGUGAAGUAUUUUCAAGAUACGAGGGACCCGGGCCUAGAGGGGCCUAACGUUGAGGAAAUACUUCGGGAAAGGCUCUGUCGCCAGAUCAGGUUGGUUCCCUUUUUACGGAGACGUCCGAUAAAAAGGCAUUUUGGGAAGGUUCGGGCCGGAACACACAAAAAAUCUAAGGCAGGAAACCGCUGGACUCUGAAAGACGGGUUCGGGGAAAUUUGAGUCUUCACCACCAGACAGAAACCGUACAAAACUAAACAACUGAGCGCGAUGAGGGUAAAUCCGGAUCUGGACUCCUUUCCCACCAUCAGCAGAAGAACCGAAGGAGAAGAAGCGCCUGAUCAACAACCAGAACAGGGUGGAAGCUCUGAUACCACAGCAGCUGGAGGACACAGACCACAGCAUGGACGCCUCACUGACCCCACGUCUGCAGCCAUCACGUUCUGGGCUCAUCAGAUGAACCAGCUACUACAAGCGUGUGUGUCUGACACAGACACCUGCUCAUGACAAUCAGCAAAGGAAAACAAGGACAGAGCAACAGCAGAGCGAGAAGACGUGCUCUGACACAGACACUGGUUGAAACAACAGGAGAGGCUUCAGACGUGAUCGGCCCAAAAGAGCUGCAUCUGAGGAUCCAGGAAAGGUCUGUCAUCGAGGAACAACUGUCCCAUCGAAAGGCUUCACCCACUGGCGCUCACAUCAGACUGAUGGUUGGGGAAGGAGGAAGGUGACGGUUCCUUUUCACGUGACGUACAAGACGGUACCACAAACACACACACAUUCAUACACGCAACGAAGAAACACGCUUACAGCUGAUACACGCUCAAAUUCAUGUUCAUGCUUAUCUGCUCGCAAUGAAGAAUCGCUUUUUGCUUAAAAAAAUCCCACAGAGUGAUUUUAAAAUGAUGACAAACAGCUAAAUGACAACUGCUGCAUGACUUUACAGUCUGAUGGGUUUAAUCUAUUUUAACUUGCAACAAAUUCAGUAAUAAAAUCCUUCAUGUUUCUAAAAAGAUUUGUGCACAAUAUAGGUUUGUCUGGCCAGACUAGAAGACUGUAGGAAAACAAAACAAAACAUACUAUAGGAAGACUGAAACUGACUGAAACAGACUAUUAAUGACUAUUAAAGGGAAGACGACUAUUAGAGAGAAGUAAUAAUAAUUACUGCACGUACCAGACUAUUAAAGAAAAACUUAUUCUUUCACUGUGCAACAUCUGACAUCAGACACCUUAACAUUAAUUUUUGCUUUCAAACUUAUGCCCAGUUAAAUUCUUAAGAAGAGAUCUCAUGUGUAGUUUAGGUAUUUGAUGUAUUUCCACUCCAGACGGAGUGCAGGUUACAUCUACAGACAUUCUAAAUAAUCCCUCUUUUGUUGCUGUUAACUUCAGCUCAGCUGUGCUCUUAUCAUUGGCUGCUGAGGGGGGGCUGUAACUGAGGCCCUCACACAGGCUGCAUCACAGCUUGUUUCCAUGUGAUACGACCUCCAGAAACACAUCUGACCUGUCCUGUACAGCACAUGUGUCUUCUGGUCCUGAUGAUAAAUUUGAAGAGUUAUUAUUUCACACACACUCAAACUGACCUCAACUUCCCUCUUUUGGGAUGAACACAGGUCUGCGCUUACGAUUUCUUUUACUAACGAACAAAAAGAUUUUUGAUUUUUGUUCUACAGUUCCACACGUCCCUCUGUGAAAACAUGAUGGAGACAGAUGCAGGACGUGGGUCCUUUCGUGAACAGAUGUUAACGGGGUGGAGACUGGUAAACGACCUCUGACCCCAUGUGACGUAUUUACCUAGUUUGCAUACUUUAUAAUUUUUUUUAUUCUGCCUGUUAUGUGCAGCAAACAGUGAACUUGGUACCUCCACAUUCUAAUGACACACUACAUGCUUUUGUUUUUAUUUUCAUUUUUCAGAGGACGCUCUGACCCAACACUCAGCCUUACAGGAAGCCCUGCUUCCCUGUGGCUCACACACAGAUAUAAUGUAGGUUUGAUCAGAGGAUGUGAACCAGGGGUCAUCACACCUAAAUCUGACCACAGACCAUGUAAACAACAACACCCUCUUAAAGGAAGCCAUAGAUGGCGUUACUGCAGACACCACUAAGAUACUGAAUCAUUGGAUGCUACAGGCCACAAAGAGCCUGUCUAAAUUACAGUUUGUUCAGACAAAGGUUAUUUUCUGGGUCAUUGUAAUUACAGCUGAUGGCAAAUCCA
Molecule: long non-coding RNA, 3657 nt
Organism: Betta splendens (Siamese fighting fish)
Lineage: Eukaryota; Metazoa; Chordata; Actinopteri; Anabantiformes; Osphronemidae
Exons: 2
Source: RefSeq, a predicted model, not a curated record